GUAAAUAUAGUUUAUAAAAACACUAGACUGUGACCCUAGAAAAAGAAAUGUUAAAUUUCUUAUUUACC
Molecule: transfer RNA, 68 nt
Filed under: Takydromus sexlineatus (Asian grass lizard)
Lineage: Eukaryota; Metazoa; Chordata; Lepidosauria; Squamata; Lacertidae
Description: tRNA-His
Rfam family: tRNA
About the family: Transfer RNA (tRNA) molecules are approximately 80 nucleotides in length. Their secondary structure includes four short double-helical elements and three loops (D, anti-codon, and T loops).
Source: RNAcentral